Non-coding RNA from Silurus meridionalis, 72 nucleotides. NCBI's taxonomy places the organism in Eukaryota, Metazoa, Chordata, Actinopteri, Siluriformes, Siluridae. The record is from the annotation of a RefSeq genome assembly.
UCCCUGGUGGUCUAGUGGUUAGGAUUUGGUGCUCUUACCACCAUGGCCUGGGUUCGAUUCCUGGUCAGGGAG